RNAcentral lists this ribosomal RNA (240 nucleotides) under Salmonella enterica subsp. enterica serovar Javiana. Its description in RNAcentral is "partial 23S ribosomal RNA". It matches the Rfam family "Bacterial large subunit ribosomal RNA", at positions 1422 to 1664 of the family's 2925-position model. Lineage: Bacteria; Pseudomonadati; Pseudomonadota; Gammaproteobacteria; Enterobacterales; Enterobacteriaceae. The record is from RNAcentral.
GAAACGGGUUAAUAUUCCCGUACUUGGUGUUACUGCGAAGGGGGGACGGAGAAGGCUAUGUUGGCCGGGCGACGGUUGUCCCGGUUUAAGCGUGUAGGCUGGUUUUCCAGGCAAAUCCGGAAAAUCAAGGCUGAGGCGUGACGACGAGGCACUACGGUGCUGAAGCAACAAAUGCCCUGCUUCCAGGAAAAGCCUCUAAGCAUCAGGUAACAUCAAAUCGUACCCCAAACCGACACAGGU